CCUACGGGAGGCAGCAGUGAGGAAUAUUGGUCAAUGGACGCAAGUCUGAACCAGCCAUGCCGCGUGCAGGAAGACGGCUCUAUGAGUUGUAAACUGCUUUUGUACGAGGGUAAACGCAGAUACGUGUAUCUGUCUGAAAGUAUCGUACGAAUAAGGAUCGGCUAACUCCGUGCCAGCAGCCGCGGUAAUACGGAGGAUUCAAGCGUUAUCCGGAUUUAUUGGGUUUAAAGGGUGCGUAGGCGGUCGGAUAAGUUAGAGGUGAAAUCCCGAGGCUCAACUUCGGAAUUGCCUGUGAUACUGUUCGGCUAGAGAGUAGUUGAGGUAGGCGGAAUGUAUGGUGUAGCGGUGAAAUGCUUAGAGAUCAUACAGAACACCGAUUGCGAAGGCAGCUUACUAAGCUACUUCUGACGUUGAGGCACGAAAGCGUGGGGAGCAAACAGGAUUAGAUACCCCAGUAGUC
This 460-nucleotide ribosomal RNA is filed under the name uncultured bacterium. Its description in RNAcentral is "partial 16S ribosomal RNA". It matches the Rfam family "Bacterial small subunit ribosomal RNA", at positions 338 to 795 of the family's 1533-position model. The record is from RNAcentral.